UGGGGAAUAUUGCACAAUGGGCGCAAGCCUGAUGCAGCCAUGCCGCGUGUAUGAAGAAGGCCUUCGGGUUGUAAAGUACUUUCAGCGAGGAGGAAGGCGUUGUGGUUAAUAACCGCAACGAUUGACGUUACUCGCAGAAGAAGCACCGGCUAACUCCGUGCCAGCAGCCGCGGUAAUACGGAGGGUGCCAGCGUUAAUCGGAAUUACUGGGCGUAAAGCGCACGCAGGCGGUCUGUCAAGUCGGAUGUGAAAUCCCCGGGCUCAACCUGGGAACUGCAUCCGAAACUGGCAGGCUAGAGUCUUGUAGAGGGGGGUAGAAUUCCAGGUGUAGCGGUGAAAUGCGUAGAGAUCUGGAGGAAUACCGGUGGCGAAGGCGGCCCCCUGGACAAAGACUGUCGCUCAGGUGCGAAAGCGUGGGGAGCAAACA
This 427-nucleotide ribosomal RNA is filed under the name uncultured bacterium. RNAcentral describes it as "partial 16S ribosomal RNA". It matches the Rfam family "Bacterial small subunit ribosomal RNA", at positions 355 to 774 of the family's 1533-position model. The record is from RNAcentral.